GCCUCCCAUCGCUGGCCCUUCCUUGUGCACCAGCGAACACAACCCUACCGUCCGAUCUGGCGGACGGAGGCGCGCCUCUUGUCACUGGCCCAUACCCGCACGUCCUUACCUGGCGAGGGCGACCCAGCACCAGAUCCCUUUAUCUUUCCCUGCUGCAGAUCGAUUAUCUGAUUUCUCCCCAAGAUUCAAAGCACUCGCACAUUCUUCUUUUUUCCCUCUUUCUUUGCUAAUUUCUCCCCAAAUUCUUCCUCCCACCGAAUCCUUCCUCUCAAUAAGUUUGUUGCGCCUCACCGCCGGCGACCGGACGCAGCAAGCCAGGCCUCCUCCCACCGAAUCUUUCUCUCCACGAGUGGUGAUUUCGUCUUUUUCUGGUAAGUAAAACCCUAGAUUGCUAUGAUGGAUUGUUCUAAAAGUUCAUUUUUGUUCUGCGGGGAACCUUUUUCUCCGAUUCUCCCUGAGAUUGCGCGUGGUACCUUACUAAUGUAAUCCCUCAAUCCAUUUAUCCAUGGCUUGGUUAGGUUCUUCUUCGGAGAGCAAAAUCAAUCUCAGCUGACACCAUAGGAAUUGGUACCCAAGGUUUUUCAUUAGGGGGUUUAACUGAACCCGAUGCCCCAUGUUAAGACCACCCCUGCCAGCUGCUGCUCACCUUGCUUUGUGAUUUUGCCGUGAUCGAGCAGAACAUCUUGUCUUGGGUUCAAUAGAGCAUAUGCUGAGAAGAGCUCGGUAGCAGAAAAUGCAAGCUCACAAAACAUGUAGAAAGGUUGGAUUUAAAAGAGUGGUCUAUGACAUCUGGAGCUCUUGGCAAGGUUUGAGAAAAGGUAGCCUAUCACAAUGAAAUAUUGGAGUAGCUGCUGUAAGUAAUUCCUUGGUUCUUUUGGACAUACCUUUUGAUAUCUUCUGACUUCACUUGAACAUGCCAACUGUAUAAUAUUACGAGAUCUCUCCUAUUAAUUAUUUGAUAUGAAUUAUAUCAAUUCCCAGUUCCUUUGACUUUAUAUGCAAUAAUUCAAUGGAUUGCUAUAUGUAAGACAGUGCUUAUGGCUCAAUUGAUCAACGGUCUGUAUUGUCAUUCGGAUAUAUGCUAUUUGGCAUUCCCUUUACAAAAUAAAGUCUCUCAGAACAUCUUUUGUCCACUGGUACUUUAGCCGGUCUUAUAUACUGCACACAGUUGGUCGACCAGAUGCAGGAUUGCCCGUUCGAUCGCGCCCGCUCGCCCGCACGGAGCAUCACCGUCCGAUCGCACACAUGGCCCUUCAUCCAUGUGCAUUGUAUAUGGGUUUCCGUUGCAAUGCACGUGCCCGUUGCUAUAUGCGUUCCUGUACCCUUGCUACUGACAGGACUUCUUUUGGGAAGUGCUGAGAGGACUGAAGCGCAUGGUCUAUUGGAUCUAGUUUUCUGAACAACUCUCAAAAUGAGCCAUGUAUUCACAUGAGUUUUCUGUUUUCUCAUCCAUUUGUAAUGACAGGGAGUCCAAUGUGAGAUUAGAUCAGUUAUGUUUGAUAUGAUUACACUUAGUUGUUUUUGAUAUGGGUACAAUAACUCAGUUGUAAUGUAGAUGGUACUACAAAGAAGGGAGCGUGAAGCAGCAAUAGAAAGGGAGAAAGUGAAAAGCUGAUAGAUUCAAGAUUCCAAGCUGUAAAAUGAUUUCAUUUGUCCUGAUUAAAUUGUUAAAGCUGUGUAGUCUUUAUGUUA
Molecule: long non-coding RNA, 1692 nt
Organism: Phragmites australis (common reed)
Lineage: Eukaryota; Viridiplantae; Streptophyta; Magnoliopsida; Poales; Poaceae
Exons: 3
Source: RefSeq, a predicted model, not a curated record